AGAGUCACACUUAUCCAUUCUUGCGCUUUUCACCGAGAAAUGGCUCUCUCUGCUGCCGCGAAUCUCACCGCCGCCAAGACCUCGAUCUGCCAUUCCGCCGCCACCUCCGCCGCCGUCACCUCCUCCUCCCCUUUCAAACCUCAAAUCUUCCCUGUCCAUCUCACCACCACCACCACCACCAAAAAACCCAGACCUACCAUCGUUGCCUCAGUCUCCACCUCCUCUUCCUCAUCAUCAUCAUCUUCGUCCAACGUAAUUUCUCCCAACUGGUCCUUGGACAGCUGGAAAACAAAACAGGCCCACCAGCUUCCGGAAUACCCUGAUCAGGGAGAAUUGAAAUCGGUGCUCCACACCCUCAGCAGCUUCCCGCCAAUUGUUUUUGCAGGGGAGGCGAGGAAGCUCGAGGAAAGAAUAGCCAGUGCAGCCGUGGGAAAUGCGUUUUUGCUUCAAGGUGGAGAUUGUGCAGAGAGUUUCAAAGAGUUUAAUGCCAAUAACAUUCGUGAUACCUUCCGGGUUUUGCUACAGAUGGGCGUUGUUCUCACUUUUGGUGCUCAAAUGCCCAUCAUCAAGGUAGGAAGGAUGGCAGGCCAGUUUGCAAAACCAAGGUCGGAACCGUUUGAGAUAAAAGAUGGUGUGAAACUCCCAAGUUAUCGAGGAGACAAUAUUAAUGCUGAUGCUUUUGAUGAGAAAUCUAGAAUACCUGAUCCUCAAAGGUUGAUUAGAGCAUACCUGCAAUCUGUUGGCACCUUGAAUCUCCUUAGGGCUUUUGCUACGGGUGGAUAUGCUGCCAUGCAAAGAGUUUCACAGUGGAAUCUUGACUUUGUAGUGCAUAGUGAGCAAGGAGAUAGGUGUGGCCUGGAUUUAUACAUAUCUUAUAUAUUGUUUAGAUUUUUCAUCCGCUUUCAACUCAGCUGCCGUUCCAGCUUGGCCUUGCUUAUAUGAACAACUGUCAAAUUGUAGGUCUUGCAUAGUCUACAACUGAAGUGUGAUAACUGCUGCAUAAAUUGGUCUGAAUGAUAUUAAUCUAUCAAACAUAAAGGAUUUCCUAUGAUUUGAUAUGAUGGCCCAAAUGUCAUAGUAGUCAAUCAAAUCUACAAGGAUAAAAUUGUUUUUAGAUGUAUUGGUAUUUGGAUUUUGCAGCAUCUUUUUUUUUAUAUAAUUUUUUUUUGUUGAAUAUCUUUUGCACAAAGCCAGGUAUAUGGAACUUGCACGGAGAGUAGAUGAUGCUCUGGGGUUCAUGGCUGCUGCUGGUCUCACUGUUGAUCAUCCUCUAAUGAACACAACUGAGUUUUGGACAUCUCAUGAGUGCCUUCAUUUGCCAUAUGAGCAGGCCUUGACCAGAGAGGACUCAACAACUGGCCUCUUUUAUGACUGUUCUGCUCACAUGCUUUGGGUAGGUGAGAGGACUAGGCAGUUGGAUGGAGCUCAUGUUGAAUUCCUCCGAGGUGUUUCCAACCCUCUUGGCAUCAAGGUGAGUGACAAGAUGGAUCCAAAGGAGCUUGUGAAGUUGUGUGAAAUUCUUAACCCUCACAACAGACCUGGAAGGUUGACAAUAAUUGCCAGAAUGGGAGCAGACAACCUCCGGAUAAAACUGCCCCAUCUCAUUAGAGCUAUACGCCAGGCAGGGCUUAUAGUCACCUGGGUCAGUGACCCCAUGCAUGGCAAUACUAUUAAGGCUCCAUGUGGUCUUAAGACACGUCCAUUUGAUGCAAUCAGGUCUGAGCUUAGGGCAUUCUUUGAUGUGCAUGAUCAAGAAGGCGGCUACCCUGGUGGAGUCCAUCUCGAGAUGACAGGGCAGAAUGUAACAGAGUGUGUUGGAGGGUCAAAGACUGUGACUUUUGAUGAUUUAAAUUCUCGUUACCAUACACAUUGUGACCCUAGGUUGAAUGCAUCACAGUCCUUAGAGCUGGCGUUUGCUAUAGCAGAGAGGCUGAGGAGGAAAAGGUUAAGAUCUGGUGAUGGCAUCCUUUUCGGCCGCAAAGUUGGUGGGUCUGUGGCAUGAGAUGCUCUACUUUUGUUUUUGUUGUUGAGUUACUAGAGAAUUUAGUGUGGUGGUUUAAGCUUUUGUAAAUUAUUAUAGAAUACCUAGUGCUGUAACAUAUUUUUGAGUUUGAAUCUUUACCAACAAGUGAGUUUGGAACAAAAGCUUCCAUGAAAGGAUUAGAAUUUCACUUGUUAGUUUUCCA
This 2186-nucleotide unclassified non-coding RNA is filed under the name Hevea brasiliensis (rubber tree). The record is from RNAcentral. Lineage: Eukaryota; Viridiplantae; Streptophyta; Magnoliopsida; Malpighiales; Euphorbiaceae.